UUAGGCCUUGCUGCAGUAGAGCGAGCUCGGAAAAGGCAGGCGUCCCGCAUCACAUGGCUGCGGGCAGGCGAUGUGCCAACUGCCUUCUUCCAGGCAAAGAUCAAUUCUAGAGCUCGCAAAAAUUUCAUACAUACUCUGCAUGGGCCAGUGGGUGUAGUCACCGCACAGGAAGACAAAGAGAAGCCGAUCCAUGAUCAUUUCCAUUCUCCGUUGGGAACGACGGUGCAUCGGAGCACCACCAUCAAUUGGACCUCACUCCAACUGCCACAAAUUCAAGGCGGAGGCUUGGACAACCCCUUCAUAGAGGAAGAAAUGUGUCGUGCGAUCAAAUCUUCCCUGGCCGAGCGAUAG
Molecule: ribosomal RNA, 351 nt
Filed under: Triticum aestivum (bread wheat)
Lineage: Eukaryota; Viridiplantae; Streptophyta; Magnoliopsida; Poales; Poaceae
Description: partial small subunit ribosomal RNA
Source: RNAcentral